RNAcentral lists this transfer RNA (71 nucleotides) under Notocochlis gualtieriana. RNAcentral describes it as "tRNA-Arg". The record is from RNAcentral. Lineage: Eukaryota; Metazoa; Mollusca; Gastropoda; Littorinimorpha; Naticidae.
AGUGUAAGAAGCGAAAUAAUUGCGUGUGGUUUCGGCCCGUAUUUUGGAGGUGAAAGUCCUUCCUUAUACUA